This 358-nucleotide ribosomal RNA is filed under the name uncultured archaeon. RNAcentral's name for it is "bacterial SSU rRNA". It matches the Rfam family "Archaeal small subunit ribosomal RNA", at positions 321 to 678 of the family's 1478-position model. The record is from RNAcentral.
CCCUACGGGGCGCAGCAGGCGCGAAAACUCUACAAUGCAGGCAACUGCGAUAGGGGAACAUCGAGUGGCUGUCAUAUUGAUAGUCUGUCCACCCGCCUAAAAAGCGGGUGUUAGCAAGGGCCGGGCAAGACCGGUGCCAGCCGCCGCGGUAAUACCGGCGGCUCGAGUGGUGGCCGAUAUUAUUGAGUCUAAAGGGUCCGUAGCCGGCUUUGCAAGUCCUUUGGGAAAUCCAGCGGCUUAACCGUUGGGCGGCCAAGGGAUACUACAUUGCUUGGGACUGGGAGAGGUAGGAGGUACUCAGGGGGUAGGAGUGAAGAUCCUGUAAUCCAAUCUCUAGUGAAAUUCAGCAGGGGNNCCA